AUUCAAACCAGGGAUGUUAAAGUUCAUUGGCAUUUUCCUUUGAUUGGGCCAAAAGAAGAUGGAAAUUGAUAAGAAAGAAAGAACCAGAGGGACAAAUUGUGCCUUGAGGGCCAGAUCUGCAAGUGGAUCCAUAUGGAGAAAUCUUUAUGUGUUGGGAACAUCAUUCAAGUCAACGGGACGCUGUGAGGGCACAGAAGCUUGCCAGGUCCAGGCUGCAAUUUGAAAAGUGUUUUGUGUUCCUUCAAGGUGGAAGGAAUUUUAUCUUGGACUUUGAGCUACAGGGAAGAAAUAAUCCAAUGGAUAGCUUAUCCAUACCACAGGUAUCAGAAGGAGUAGAAGUCCUAAUAGAUCUAAUUGUAUAAUAAAACUGAACGCAUUCCAGGCAGUGCUGGCCAUGCUGUGUAUGUCCAAGGGACAAGAUGACAAAUUCUUUUCACAAAAAAACCCCACGAAACCCUAUAAAUUGUUACUGAGUGAACUUGAAA
RNAcentral lists this long non-coding RNA (485 nucleotides) under Calidris pugnax (ruff). Its description in RNAcentral is "lncRNA (ENSCPUG00000006264.1)". The record is from RNAcentral. Lineage: Eukaryota; Metazoa; Chordata; Aves; Charadriiformes; Scolopacidae.